GCCCCCGUCGUCUAGCGGCCAAGGAUGCCUGGUUCUCAGCCAGGAGAUCGCGGGUUCGAAUCCCGCCGGGGGUG
RNAcentral lists this transfer RNA (74 nucleotides) under Thermoleophilia bacterium. Its description in RNAcentral is "tRNA-Glu". It matches the Rfam family "tRNA". From Rfam's summary of the family: Transfer RNA (tRNA) molecules are approximately 80 nucleotides in length. Their secondary structure includes four short double-helical elements and three loops (D, anti-codon, and T loops). Lineage: Bacteria; Bacillati; Actinomycetota; Thermoleophilia. The record is from RNAcentral. RNAcentral also lists the same sequence under 1 other name.